Molecule: long non-coding RNA, 742 nt
Organism: Mustela erminea (ermine)
Lineage: Eukaryota; Metazoa; Chordata; Mammalia; Carnivora; Mustelidae
Exons: 3
Source: RefSeq, a predicted model, not a curated record
CAUGGAAACAUGGAACAGCUAAUAAAUCCUGGAUAAUACUCAGGCUGCAUUUGAUUUUGCUGUCGUCUGGUACCUGCUCUUAAUGUUGGGUGAUCGCAGUACAUAAUUUACCGGAUGGCAACAGCACCUGAAUUUUACCUGAUGGGCCAGCUGAUCCCUCUCACUCACCAAGGACCAGAGGAGAGGAUGCUGGAAAUGAACCAAUCUGCAGGGAAGGGAAACAACUCAAUAUUCAAGCUCCAUGUCAUAGAUGCAGGACUGGCUGUAUAGUUGAAAAGCCUAUUGGGAUGAAGCCAGCUGCCAUGUUGUGAGCUCUCAGUGGUGAGGCCCAUAUGGGCAGCCUCUGGCUGAUGGCCAACGAGGACGUAAGGGCCUCAGCCGUAGAGAAACUGAAUCCUGCCAACAACCACUGAGAGAUUGUAGAGGUUGAUCACCUUGAGUGAAGCCUCCAGAUGCCUGAAUGCCCAGCCCACAGCUUGACUCCCGGCUUGCGAGUGACCAGAGCCAUGCCUAGACUCCCGCCUUAUGGAAAUUGCAAGAUGACAAAUGUUUGUUGUUUUAAGCUGCUAAGUUUUGGGGUCAUUUGUUACACAGCUAUAGAUAACUGAUAGAUUAUAAAUGAACUGAAACAUAGUGAAUAAUGAAGCAAAUGAAAUAAAUUGAGGGAAAACAUAUUUAAACUGUACUUACAAUAAAGGGGUUACUGGGCUCUAGUGGAGAAAAAACUGCCCCCUAACUCAUG